CACGUACUCCCUCCGUCCGAUAAUACUUGUCAUCAAAAUAAAUAAAAAGAGAUGUAUCUAAAAACUAAAAUAUGUUUAGAUACAUCCCUUUUUAUCCAUUUUAAUGACAAGUAUUUCCGGACGGAGGGAGUAGCUU
Triticum aestivum (bread wheat) is the source of this 136-nucleotide non-coding RNA. NCBI's taxonomy places the organism in Eukaryota, Viridiplantae, Streptophyta, Magnoliopsida, Poales, Poaceae. The record is from Rfam.